GACGAACGCUGGCGGCGUGCUUAACACAUGCAAGUCGAACGGAAAGGCCCUGCUUUUGUGGGGUGCUCGAGUGGCGAACGGGUGAGUAACACGUGAGUAACCUGCCCUUGACUUUGGGAUAACUUCAGGAAACUGGGGCUAAUACCGGAUAGGAGCUCCUGCUCCAUGGUGGGGGUUGGAAAGUUUCGGCGGUUGGGGAUGGACUCGCGGCUUAUCAGCUUGUUGGUGGGGUAGUGGCUUACCAAGGCUUUGACGGGUAGCCGGCCUGAGAGGGUGACCGGCCACAUUGGGACUGAGAUACGGCCCAGACUCCUACGGGAGGCAGCAGUGGGGAAUAUUGCACAAUGGGCGGAAGCCUGAUGCAGCAACGCCGCGUGCGGGAUGACGGCCUUCGGGUUGUGAACCGCUUUCGCCUGUGACGAAGCGUGAGUGACGGUAAUGGGUAAAGAAGCACCGGCUAACUACGUG
This 468-nucleotide ribosomal RNA is filed under the name uncultured bacterium. Its description in RNAcentral is "partial 16S ribosomal RNA". It matches the Rfam family "Bacterial small subunit ribosomal RNA", at positions 28 to 507 of the family's 1533-position model. The record is from RNAcentral.